CAUUUUUUAGCACAGUGGGUAAGGAACUGGGCUUGUAACCGAAAGGUCGCAGGUUCGAUUCCCAGGUAGGA
This 71-nucleotide transfer RNA is filed under the name Anguilla anguilla (European eel). Its description in RNAcentral is "tRNA-OTHER". The record is from RNAcentral. Lineage: Eukaryota; Metazoa; Chordata; Actinopteri; Anguilliformes; Anguillidae.